RNAcentral lists this transfer RNA (72 nucleotides) under Candidatus Dojkabacteria bacterium. RNAcentral's name for it is "tRNA-OTHER". It matches the Rfam family "tRNA". Rfam says of the family: Transfer RNA (tRNA) molecules are approximately 80 nucleotides in length. Their secondary structure includes four short double-helical elements and three loops (D, anti-codon, and T loops). Further hydrogen bonds mediate the characteristic L-shaped molecular structure. tRNAs have two regions of fundamental functional importance: the anti-codon, which is responsible for specific mRNA codon recognition, and the 3' end, to which the tRNAs corresponding amino acid is attached (by aminoacyl-tRNA synthetases). tRNAs cope with the degeneracy of the genetic code in two manners: having more than one tRNA (with a specific anti-codon) for a particular amino acid; and 'wobble' base-pairing, i.e. permitting non-standard base-pairing at the 3rd anti-codon position. The record is from RNAcentral.
GGUGUGGUAGCCAAGCGGUAAGGCAAUUUCUCGGAAGAGAAUAGAUCGUAGGUUCAAAUCCUACCCACACCU